Microcebus murinus (gray mouse lemur) is the source of this 2269-nucleotide long non-coding RNA. The record is from Ensembl. NCBI's taxonomy places the organism in Eukaryota, Metazoa, Chordata, Mammalia, Primates, Cheirogaleidae.
CAAUUCAUUUUCUUCUUUUCUAUUAGCCUCAGUUUUCUCUGAAGUGUUUGUCAAAAUGAAGACGAACCAGUUAAAAUCUCUGAAGGGAAACUCUACAUCUGCGCCUGAUAUGGCAACUUAGUUCUUCAGUUACAUUUCCAUGGAAGAAACGUGCAUCCAGUACUGAAUGUGUAACAGCACCCGCCCAAGAGAAUCAUAGUGGAUUGAGGCUGCCAAUUCAUGGUUACUGAUAAGAAGGGGGAGACUUUCUUGGAAACAGAUAAAGGAAAGAGUCCAGUAAUUUGUAGCAAUGUGACUACAGCCACACAUGCUCCAGAAUUAAUGUUCUUCAUUAGGGCCAGAUGUAGCUCAUCAUCGGUUGGAAUCAAUUCCAGAAGAGGUGUUAGAGUCUGUUGGUCCAAGAGAAAGUCUGAUCCAGACACCAAAAAGAGCCAUGAGGAAAAUGGAUACUAUCUCCACUGAUCUCCCAACAAUUUAGGCCCUUUCCAAGUGCUGUGAUUUUACGAUAGUACACAACAAUUACUCAGCAUAUUUCUUUUUUUAUUUAACCCUAUGGGCAAAAGUAUUAGUUUUUGAAGACUUCUUGAAUGCUAUGAAAAAUGUUAAAGAGAUUUUUCUGCAAAACUUUAUAAGACCAGAGCAUCAAGAGAUCCUCAUCUGGACCUGAUUUGGGGAACAUCUUAAAUCUCCUGAUUUCAUUUUCAAAGAAGGUAAGAAAUAUGCCAUCUGGAGGCUGAUUCUUCAUAAAGACUUCAGAACAACCCAGCUGAAAACCAUUCAGUAAUGACUAUCUCUAAUUAUUAAGUUGUUCUGAUUUUCCAUCUAUGAAUUACAUAGAAGAUUAUGAAUCUGUCUCUGGAUUAAUCACAUGACUAAAAAUGCAGAAAUAAAGUGGAUUGCUAGUGUAUGUGGGUCAUUUCUGAUCCUUAGUUUCAGUUAUCUCCUACUUCACAGAAUUGUUUCUUUCAAAGGCUAAGUCCAGGCCAGUCCUGGGCAGAAAUGUCAAUUUGUCCAAGUUCUUCCUUGGCCCUUUCUCUCUAGCUGAGCCCCUCUCUGCUUUUCUUGAAAACUUCUGGAGUUAUCUGUGUUUUUGGUUAUACUCCAAGGACUUUGCUUUCAACUGGUUACCAGCAAAACCUUUCUGGAACAUUUGUUAAUAAAAUUCAAGCAUCCUCCUGACUUCUAGGAAUAGUUUUGUUUUUAUAGGCAACCUUGGGAAAGAGGAAUGGUGAAGAUGACUAUAAGAAUGGUAAUAAAUAAUGAAUGACCUUGUCCAUAAACUUGGUCUGUCAACAAGUACCAAGAUGAACAAGUAUGAGUUUUUACUUCCCAUAUUCCAACAAACAGAAAUCCUGACACAGUAGUAUUUAAUGGAACCAAGGCAUGAAGGGAAAGUAGAUCUUACAGGAAAUUAGAGCCAGGAACUGGAAAACAGAAAUCAAAGUCAUUCUCUCUAUCUCUCCAUGGCCAUGGAGUCUUUGUUCUCUCUGCAGCAGUGCAUGCGCCAUGCCAAAAGUGCAUGAACACACAUGACCGUGCCCUGCAGGAAAUGGCUGUGCAAACUUUGACUCUAUACAACCUCAGUCUCUAGUGCCGAUGGUAUUUUGAUUCUGAAUUCCAAGGAAAGAGAAUUUGAUUGGCCCAAGUGGAGUUAUGUUUCUAACACUGGUCUAUUCAUUUAUGGUCAGUGGGGCCCUGACCAUAUAGAAAUAACAUAGAAGGUAGGGUUGCUCCUUCCUUAGGAGUUGUGAUGAGUAAGUAAUUCUUAAAAAUGAGGCUGUGGACCAGGAAUGCAUUGAAAUAAGAGUCCCCUAUACUACCCUUUCCAGGAGGUGCUAAUGAGCACUAAAGUGUCUAAAGCCACCUUUGAAAAGGAAGCUAGGUGUCAUGGCUGAGAAGGUGCACUCCACAGUCCCACCAGCCAGGCUUGGGGCCAGCCCUAGCACACUCUAUGUGACUUAACUUCCAUGUGCCUCACUCUCUUGGCUUAUAGAAUGGGGAUUGUAUCCCUCACGAGCUUGCUGGGAGGAGUUGCAAAGCUCUUAGUACAGUACCCUGCAUAUAGUAAGAGAUACAUAAGUGUAUAUAAAUGUUGCUUAGCAAAAAUAAAAGCUCUUUAGAAAUAUAGGAAAAUACUGGUCCUGGGUAAUAUAAAUCAUACAGACGUUUCUUGAUCACAUUUGGCAUGGGUAAUGCACUCCUUCCUUGAGGAAACUAUAAUUCUGAGAGAUCGGUAUCAUCAUUAGCUAUAGGGUCUGAAGAAAAUCAG